GCGCCCGUAGCUCAGUUGGAUAGAGUACCUGGCUUCGAACCAGGUGGUCGGAGGUUCGAGUCCUUCCGGGCGCGCCA
This 77-nucleotide transfer RNA is filed under the name Granulosicoccus sp. RNAcentral's name for it is "tRNA-Arg". It matches the Rfam family "tRNA". From Rfam's summary of the family: Transfer RNA (tRNA) molecules are approximately 80 nucleotides in length. Their secondary structure includes four short double-helical elements and three loops (D, anti-codon, and T loops). RNAcentral also lists the same sequence under 2 other names. The record is from RNAcentral. Lineage: Bacteria; Pseudomonadati; Pseudomonadota; Gammaproteobacteria; Chromatiales; Granulosicoccaceae.